UACGAGUGCCUCGAGCGUUAUCCGGAAUCAUUGGGCGUAAAGGGUGUGUAGGUUGUUGUGUUAGUCUCAUGUUAAAUUCUUCGGCUUAACCGGGGGCAUGCAUGGGAAACGGCACAACUUGAGGAUGCGAGGGGUCUGCGGAACUCAUAGUGUAGCGGUGAAAUGCGUUGAUAUUAUGGGGAACACCAAAAGCGAAGGCAGCAGACUGGAGCACUCCUGACACUGAAACACGAAAGCGUGGGUAGCGAAUGGG
Molecule: unclassified non-coding RNA, 253 nt
Filed under: uncultured Parcubacteria group bacterium
Lineage: Bacteria
Description: contains 16S-23S intergenic spacer region
Rfam family: Bacterial small subunit ribosomal RNA
Source: RNAcentral